UCCCUUAUAGCUCAGUGGUUAGAGCGGUCAUACUUUUUUGAUGCGUCAUCGGUUCGAUUCCGAUUAAGGGAA
RNAcentral lists this transfer RNA (72 nucleotides) under Empedobacter brevis. RNAcentral's name for it is "tRNA-OTHER". It matches the Rfam family "tRNA". From Rfam's summary of the family: Transfer RNA (tRNA) molecules are approximately 80 nucleotides in length. Their secondary structure includes four short double-helical elements and three loops (D, anti-codon, and T loops). The record is from RNAcentral. Lineage: Bacteria; Pseudomonadati; Bacteroidota; Flavobacteriia; Flavobacteriales; Weeksellaceae.